Molecule: ribosomal RNA, 662 nt
Filed under: Synechococcus elongatus PUPCCC 010.5
Lineage: Bacteria; Bacillati; Cyanobacteriota; Cyanophyceae; Synechococcales; Synechococcaceae
Description: bacterial SSU rRNA
Rfam family: Bacterial small subunit ribosomal RNA
Source: RNAcentral
AUAACGCGUGAGAAUCUGCCUACAGGACGGGGACAACAGUUGGAAACGACUGCUAAUACCCGAUGUGCCGAGAGGUGAAACAUUUAUGGCCUGUAGAUGAGCUCGCGUCUGAUUAGCUAGUUGGUGGGGUAAGAGCCUACCAAGGCGACGAUCAGUAGCUGGUCUGAGAGGAUGAUCAGCCACACUGGGACUGAGACACGGCCCAGACUCCUACGGGAGGCAGCAGUGGGGAAUUUUCCGCAAUGGGCGCAAGCCUGACGGAGCAACGCCGCGUGGGGGAGGAAGGUUUUUGGACUGUAAACCCCUUUUCUCAGGGAAGAAGAAAGUGACGGUACCUGAGGAAUAAGCCUCGGCUAAUUCCGUGCCAGCAGCCGCGGUAAUACGGGAGAGGCAAGCGUUAUCCGGAAUUAUUGGGCGUAAAGCGUCCGCAGGCGGUUAAUCAAGUCUGUUGUCAAAGCGUGGGGCUUAACCUCAUACAGGCAAUGGAAACUGAUUGACUAGAGUAUGGUAGGGGUAGCGGGAAUUCCAGGUGUAGCGGUGAAAUGCGUAGAUAUCUGGAAGAACACCAGCGGCGAAAGCGCGCUACUGGGCCAUAACUGACGCUCAUGGACGAAAGCUAGGGGAGCGAAAGGCAUUAGAUACCCCCUGUACUCACGCGUUCC